AAUUUGUUUUCUGAAAUGUAAAUUUGUUUCGGGACUUGUAAAUGUGUUAUGGUAAUGUAAUUUUGUUUUAUGAUAUGUAAAAAUGUUUUCCAAAAUGUAAAUUUGUCUCAAGCUUUGUAAAAGUGUUUCAGAUUUUGUAAUGUUGGUUUGCACCUCUCGGCCACCGUACAACUCUCUUGUGAAACACCUGCAAGAACAAGGAGGUUGCUGCUGGCAGUGCCAGGCCAAUGUGUGUGUGUGUUUAUCUGGAGGAGUGUCUGUGUGCUGAACACAGCCACCUUGUGUGGUACUUGCACUUGUUGGUCCCACUUGCCAGCACUGAUAGCCACCUGCCUCAAGAUGACUCAGUCCUGGAGGUUACUUUGUGCGGCAGCUCUAACCUUGGUUGCCAUGUCGGUGGCGGUCCCUGAAGGAGAGAUUGUGGACCCACAGGACCCUGAGGUCCAGGCUUGUGCCUCGUUUGCCCUCGAAUCGCUCAGCUUCCGUGACAAGGCCCAUCAAUACAGCAUCAGAAGGGUGAUCUCUGUCAGCAAGGCGCCCAUUGGUGGGGGCCAGUAUGACAUGGAUGUUGAGGUGAAGAAGAUUCCGUGUGGCCCAGAAGGAGUUGACGCCUGCACUCCUGGCUCAGCAAAUGGACAGACUUUGCAUUGUAAGUUUGUGGUUCUGACUGCUCCGUGGAAGCAUCAGCGUGUUCUCUUAAGCAGCUCUUGCAGUGAUGAGUCUCAGAGUUAAACUGCAGAGAUUCCCCAGAGAGCCCAGCCCAGCCCCGACUUCACCUCUGCAUGACAUGUUAAUGUGUUAUAAAAGAUAAUAAAGUUUAAAAGAACAAUAUUACUUACAAUAUUACUACAAUAUUACUACAUGAUUUGAUUAAGCAAAGGUUGACCACUGGUCUGUGAACAUGUAAACAUCAAAUAAACUGUGUUGACAGUUAAA
Long non-coding RNA from Clupea harengus (Atlantic herring), 936 nucleotides. The record is from Ensembl. Lineage: Eukaryota; Metazoa; Chordata; Actinopteri; Clupeiformes; Clupeidae.